AAUAUAUAAUACGGUUAAGGAAUCCUGCGCUCUCCUUAAUCCGGGGUCCUACGUGGCAUCUCUAAGAAUUUACCAUUCAAAAUCCCUGCAAUUCUAGAGCCUCUAGCUCAAUUCUCUAUCGCUGACGUGACAAUAUAAUUCCACAUCACUUAUUUUAUUUUAAAAAACACAAAAUCUAACAUUUCUCUACCCCAAUUCUCAAAACCUAAAAUCAAUUCCCCUUCUUCCAUCUCUCACAUCCGAUUCUCCCUUCCCCGCCGCCGCAAUCUGCCCUACAACGCCCCGCCCCUCCACCGCCACGAUCUGCUUCGCCGGACCACAUUCAAACCUGAAACCCUAAUCUAGCGCGCCUCCACAAUGUGCACACACUUGCGCCCCUCUUCUUCUCUCCUCUGAGGCGCGACCAGACCCGUCGCACCGCAUUCGGCCGCCGCCGCGUCGCCCCGCUCGCCGUCACGCCGCGCUGCGCCGUCGCGACCAGAGCAGUCUGCCAGUUGCGCGCUUGGAGCAGGGGAUGAUACAGUCAGCACCUCCUCUUCCCUACCAAUCUAAUUCACCCGCCCCAGCUCGGCCUCACCUCCCUCAACCAUGGGCGCCGCUUCUUCUCCGCCAGCCGUGAUGCCUCCGUUCGCAGCACCAUUCCCCCCGCCCCAAUUCCUAUCUAUCCCCUUUCCUGCCGAUCCAAUUCUCUCGUCCCAAUUCCUGCAGAUCGGGUUCGAAUCAGUUCCACCUUCCACCUUCGAUCUGCCCUCCCGCCUCCCGGCUUCCCCCUACCUACAGAACCCGGCGGUGGCCAAUGGCUCAAGACCACGGCGAACCUGGCGGUGGCCAAUGGCUCAAGACCACGGCCGGCUAUGAUUUUUGGCUGGAAGUAAGCGAUUGCUUUACUUCCUGUUUUUCCGUGGCUGAGAUCUCGAAACACAUCACCAACAAGGUCUCCGAGCACUGCAUAAAAACUUACUGUAAAGUGGCAGAAGGAAGUGUUCUCCAAUAUGGAAAUAGACACUACCGAGCCCCCAUAUGUUUUCAAGCGCCAGCUUUAUGACUUAACAGGAGUUCCACCAGAAAGACAAAAGAUUGUGGUUAAAUGUGGCUUACUUAAGGUAUAGAAGCAAUUAUUUAUAAAGUGAGGGCGUCUUAUUGAACUUUGAAUGAGACUUCCAAUACAGUUGGAGUUCAUAACAUUGACACAUUACUUUUUGACUGUAUAAGAUGAUGCUAAUUGGUCAAAAGUAGGAGUCAAGGAUGGCCAGAAACUAAUGAUGAUGGGAACUGCAGAUGAGAUUGUAAAGGCUCCAGAAAAGGGCCCUAUUUUUGCAGAAGACAUGCCAGAAGAAGAACAAGUGGUCACUGUUGUAAGUCCCUUUGUAUUUCCACAACUUCUAUCGGAAAUAGUACCUGAGACAAAGGCUCAUUCUCUCCAAUAUUACACACAUUCAAAUUUAUUUUUUUCUGUUUUGAAUUUUGGAAUUGCUGUGAGGAUUUGUAGUAUUAAUUCCAUUCAGAUGAUGGUAAAAGGCAGAUUGAUAUUGCUAAGAUGAUGGUGAUCCAUGCAUAUUGUGAUUGAUGAUGAGAUCUCACACAUUGGAAUCAGCUUAAUACUACUUUUUAAAGCAUUUUGGUGCAUCA
Salvia miltiorrhiza (redroot sage) is the source of this 1629-nucleotide RNA transcript. It is a transcript of the gene named ubiquitin carboxyl-terminal hydrolase 7-like, with no coding region annotated. The record is from RefSeq and is a predicted model, not a curated record. Lineage: Eukaryota; Viridiplantae; Streptophyta; Magnoliopsida; Lamiales; Lamiaceae. The transcript is spliced from 5 exons.